GCGCCCGUAGCUCAGCUGGAUAGAGCGUCGGUCUACGGAACCGAAGGUCAGUGGUUCGAAUCCACUCGGGCGCA
Molecule: transfer RNA, 74 nt
Filed under: Thermoleophilaceae bacterium
Lineage: Bacteria; Bacillati; Actinomycetota; Thermoleophilia; Thermoleophilales; Thermoleophilaceae
Description: tRNA-Arg
Rfam family: tRNA
About the family: Transfer RNA (tRNA) molecules are approximately 80 nucleotides in length. Their secondary structure includes four short double-helical elements and three loops (D, anti-codon, and T loops).
Source: RNAcentral